Molecule: non-coding RNA, 30 nt
Filed under: Mus musculus (house mouse)
Lineage: Eukaryota; Metazoa; Chordata; Mammalia; Rodentia; Muridae
Source: RNAcentral
UCAUAGGUGCUGGCUGGUAACUCAGAUGGA